Pyrus x bretschneideri (Chinese white pear) is the source of this 1823-nucleotide RNA transcript. RefSeq lists it as uncharacterized. The record is from RefSeq and is a predicted model, not a curated record. Lineage: Eukaryota; Viridiplantae; Streptophyta; Magnoliopsida; Rosales; Rosaceae. The transcript is spliced from 5 exons.
ACACACUAUGGCAAGAGUACCACAUAUUGGUUCAUCACGAAUUUAGACGAAAAGCGACCGAACCAAAUAUCCCAAAUGUUGGGUACGCAAAACCAAACCGAUCCCGAAAACUUGGAUAACGUGGACCGUCGGAUUUCGAAUUUAGGGAGCGCAAUCCUGUGUCAUUCUGUCAUUCUGAAUUUUUGAGACUCCGCCUCCUACCGCUCCUCUGUCCUCUCGACUCGAACCCUCUCAUCUCUCUCGACUCUGUCUCUCUUCAGCCCACCUUCUUCAAGUCUCUCUGUCUCGACCACAUCACAGACAAACUACACACACCUGCUGCUAUCUCUCUCGCAUUCUCUCGAUCGAGCGACUCUCGAGCCUAAAAUCGAGCACAUCUAUGGAGGAGGGGGAAGCCAGAUCUGUAUUUGUACUCGUGGAAUUUACAUGUGGUCCAUUUGGAGGUGGAUUAUAUGAAAUAAAAAUCCAACAGGGAGGAGAAGUGAUGCGACCUAAGAAACUUGAACCUGAGUUUAAGUUUGUACUCCUUUAGUAUUGUUGGUUUGAGGGUGCGAGAUUGCACAACUCUAAAUUACACUUAGUGUUAAAUAAAGGACUCAUACCUCUUCAUAACCACCCCGCCGAUGACAAGUUCGGCUCAUAUAGGGGACAUAUUUAUGACACAGCGACUAGAUCAUUGGAAACAUUCGAGCCUCCUUUAGCACCUAAGCCAGUUUCAUAUCUUAUGUCUGCAUACGGAAAGCUUUAUAAUCUUGCAUCUCCACAGUGCUUCCGAUUGAUGCCGAAGGUAUUGUUUGAGCGUUAUGAUUCCAAAACUGAUUCUUGGGAAUCUCUUACUCAUUUUGCUUAUUCUCGGGAACGGUCCAACAUGGAGAUAGCAGGUUAUGCUGUUUGUCAUGGAUGUAUUUUGGUUUCAACAUGCAAUUUUCGAUUUGAGUUCAUGGUUUUUCAUAUAGACAGUAAUACCUGGCAUCAAGUUGAUAUAUCUAGAAAGGAAGCUUAUUAUUCUGCUUUUCGAGGGAGGGCCGUGGUUGUAGGCAAUUCUAUAUAUGCCUUAUCUAUACAAUGUGGAAAGGUUAUAGCGUUGUCGCUUAAGAUAAAAAUAGGGAAUGAUGGCCUUGUUACCUAUUCGCUAGAGGAACCAUUCUUUUUGCCAGGACUGGAGAGUAGGGUUGCAGACAGUACGGAAUCUGGUCGUAUUUCCAGGCCAACAGAGUAUUUGGUCCAUUUGGAGAAGUUGGAAUUCUGUCUUCUUCAAUCUUUCUCCGCUGAUUUGGAGGAGUCUCAAGAGAUGUUUAUCACCACAUUCGAAAUUGUCUGUGAUGAUGAAACAAUGCAUAUCAAGACUUUGGAUUCUAGUGUCUGUGAUUUCCACAUAGGACAUUCUGGUAGAAUUCGUAUUUGUUUCAGCUUUAUGCCAAAAUGUGAGGAUUUUGAGCCUGAAGAAGAUGAGAGUUUUCGGUUGGCUCAUAAAAAGUUCUUCAUCUUCUGGAGAUAAAACCAACACAUUACAGAUUACGAUGGUUGGUACUGAGGAGUAUGCUGAAUAUUUAACAUCUGUUCUCGUCACUAGUUACAAAAAUAAAGGAAGGAGAAAAUCAAGCAAGAGGGUUCUUCAGAAGUGGCCCCCUAAGUAUGAGCUUGGGCGACUGGCUGCAGCAUUCCACCCGUUGCCUGUAUGUGUCCAAGCGAUGGUAUUCGUUUUUGUUGUAUACUUCUUAUACAAACAAAUAUCCAUCUAUUAGAUUGUGUAACAGAAAAAAAAAAAAAGUUAGUUUGGCAUUUACUUUUUCCAUGUUAUGGAGUUGUUUAUUGUUUGGUUA